CAGGAAGCAGCUUGCUGUUUCGCUGACGAGUGGCGGACGGGUGAGUAAUGUCUGGGAAACUGCCUGAUGGAGGGGGAUAACUACUGGAAACGGUAGCUAAUACCGCAUAACGUCGCAAGACCAAAGAGGGGGACCUUCGGGCCUCUUGCCAUCGGAUGUGCCCAGAUGGGAUUAGCUAGUAGGUGGGGUAACGGCUCACCUAGGCGACGAUCCCUAGCUGGUCUGAGAGGAUGACCAGCCACACUGGAACUGAGACACGGUCCAGACUCCUACGGGAGGCAGCAGUGGGGAAUAUUGCACAAUGGGCGCAAGCCUGAUGCAGCCAUGCCGCGUGUAUGAAGAAGGCCUUCGGGUUGUAAAGUACUUUCAGCGGGGAGGAAGGGAGUAAAGUUAAUACCUUUGCUCAUUGACGUUACCCGCAGAAGAAGCACCGGCUAACUCCGUGCCAGCAGCCGCGGUAAUACGGAGGGUGCAAGCGUUAAUCGGAAUUACUGGGCGUAAAGCGCACGCAGGCGGUUUGUUAAGUCAGAUGUGAAAUCCCCGGGCUCAACCUGGGAACUGCAUCUGAUACUGGCAAGCUUGAGUCUCGUAGAGGGGGGUAGAAUUCCAUGUGUUAGCGGU
RNAcentral lists this ribosomal RNA (621 nucleotides) under Escherichia coli. Its description in RNAcentral is "bacterial SSU rRNA". It matches the Rfam family "Bacterial small subunit ribosomal RNA", at positions 69 to 682 of the family's 1533-position model. The record is from RNAcentral. Lineage: Bacteria; Pseudomonadati; Pseudomonadota; Gammaproteobacteria; Enterobacterales; Enterobacteriaceae.